This 1400-nucleotide long non-coding RNA is filed under the name Homo sapiens (human). RNAcentral's name for it is "novel transcript". The record is from RNAcentral. Lineage: Eukaryota; Metazoa; Chordata; Mammalia; Primates; Hominidae.
AGUGCAGGUCUGCAGGAAGGGCCUGCCUCCACUCAUGCAGGUACCUGGGAUCACCUGUCCAUUGGCUACACUGCCCUUUAGGGCCUCCAAAUCCCCAGCUGAAUUAUUCCCAUCCAUCUAGUAGGAAAGGAAAAAAGAAUGUUGAAGGAUCAUGCAAAAUGUUUUAGGGGCCAGUCCUGGACGUAAAAUAUGUUACAUUGGCUAGAAUGCUGUUACACAUUGCCACCUAUUUCAAGAGAUGCUGAGAUUUGGAGUCUUCUUGGGUGCCCAGAGAUUUGAGUAUCACCUAGCACUGUUUCUGCUUCAGGGAAAUGGAAGUAGAACUCUGAAGCUAAAUCAGAGGACUCCAAGCAAAUGAAGUGACUGAAAGCAAGAAUGGCUCAUUGCCCUUGAGCUACACAGAAAUGUAUAGGUGGGUGUAUUGGGUCGGUUCCCUGGAAGCACAACCUCAGAUGGGGAUUCUUGUGCAAAAGAUACACGGAGGAAGAGCUCAAGGAAGUAACUUGCAAUGAAGCAAGGGGAGCAAGCUGGAGCAGGAGAAAAGAUCAGGCAAAGGCAUGCUUUCAGAAGUCUAGCCUCGGCCUCAUCCACAGGGAGCUCCAGAGAGUGAAUGGUACCAUGCAGCUGGUCAACCUUCUUGGAGGAGGGAGCUGCUGAUAGCCUUCAGUAGACAGCACUUGCACUAGCCAAGGGAUGAGUGCACCAGCCCAGUGGAGGGGAUCUGGGUAGAGCACCUAUGCCAUCUGCUAUAAUAGGAAGGACAUGCUUUUCCUUUUCGUAUCCUCUACCUGAAGCAAUAUAUCACGUACUCAGCAGACGCUCAAUAAGUGUUUGAGAAAUGAAGAAACAAAAAGACAGAGGGAAGGAGAGAAGAAAAGAAACAAGAUUACAGAAAAUUCUAAAAUACUCUUGGGCUCCAAGAAAUGCAUCUUCAAAUAAGGAACUUCACAUACUUAUGCUGAGCAAUGAGAGAGAUAUUUUGAGAAACCUGAAAAAAUAAGAGAACUUUGAGUUUUCAGUGCUCUGGAAAUGGCAAAAAGGAAUCCCGCCAUGGACGACCUGCUCCUUGCUCCAGCCUGGCCAGUGCUUUGAAGUGAUAACACCAAGAGUUGCUGUUUAGGAAGGCAAGGAAGAAACAUCAGUGUCUCGUCUAGCCUCAGAAAAAAACGACUUCCUAUUUUUACUACUGUUAUGAAUCCCUCACUCAUGGACACCUUUGUGACGUGACUUCCAAGUUGCUAUUCUAUUUUCUGGCUGGAACCUGCAAACUCCAAUCUGGAAGUAUAUCUCUUUAGGGAAAGGGAAGGAAGACCAGAACCAGUGUUUAUUAAAUACCUACUAAAUGUCAAAUUUACUAUGCAUAGCUCUACAUAUGCUAUAUAAAUUACCCAUGAAAAAAA